GAGGGUGUAGCUUAGUGGUAGAGCCUAGCAUGCAUAAAGUCUUGGGUUCAACCCCCACCACCUCCA
Molecule: transfer RNA, 66 nt
Filed under: Camelus bactrianus (Bactrian camel)
Lineage: Eukaryota; Metazoa; Chordata; Mammalia; Artiodactyla; Camelidae
Also listed under: 2 other names
Rfam family: tRNA
About the family: Transfer RNA (tRNA) molecules are approximately 80 nucleotides in length.
Source: Rfam by way of RNAcentral